UACGAAGGGUGCAAGCGUUACUCGGAAUCACUGGGCUUAAAGAGUGCGUAGGCGGUCUAGUAGGUGGGGUGUGAAAGCCCCCGGCUCAACCGGGGAAUUGCGCCCCAAACCACUAGACUUGAGGGAGAUAGAGGUGAGCGGAACUGAUGGUGGAGCGGUGAAAUGCAUUGAUAUCAUCAGGAACACCGGUGGCGAAGGCGGCUCACUGGAUCUCUUCUGACGCUGAGGCACGAAAGCUAGGGGAGCGAACGGG
This 253-nucleotide ribosomal RNA is filed under the name uncultured bacterium. RNAcentral's name for it is "partial 16S ribosomal RNA". It matches the Rfam family "Bacterial small subunit ribosomal RNA", at positions 524 to 776 of the family's 1533-position model. The record is from RNAcentral.